GUCCACGCCGUAAACUAUGCAUACAAGCUGUAGUGGGAUUUUACUCCUGCUGUGGCGAAGCUAACGCAAUUAGUAUGCCGCCUGGGGAGUACGGUCGCAAGACUAAAACUCAAAGGAAUUGACGGGGGCCCCGCACAAGCGGUGGAUUAUGUGGUUUAAUUCGAAGCAACGCGCAGAACCUUACCUAGGCUUGACAUCCCUUGACAAACGUAGAAAUACGUCUUUGUAGCAAUACACAAGGAGACAGGUGCUGCAUGGCUGUCGU
RNAcentral lists this ribosomal RNA (265 nucleotides) under uncultured bacterium. Its description in RNAcentral is "partial 16S ribosomal RNA". It matches the Rfam family "Bacterial small subunit ribosomal RNA", at positions 793 to 1055 of the family's 1533-position model. The record is from RNAcentral.